Molecule: long non-coding RNA, 2031 nt
Organism: Alosa alosa (allis shad)
Lineage: Eukaryota; Metazoa; Chordata; Actinopteri; Clupeiformes; Clupeidae
Exons: 3
Source: RefSeq, a predicted model, not a curated record
UAAGACCUACAGUAAGCGCCUCAGACACAUUUCAUUGAACUACAGUACAAAUUGUAAUUUUUCCUUGAAAUAGACCAUCAGUAAACACCUGGACUUGUCAGCGUUUGUACUGUUUUCUUUACCAAAUAGACAAUACAGUACUUUCUCUAAAUGUGCCUUAGAUCCAUACUUGCAAAUGUCAACACAGAACAGGCAUGGUAUCUCUUAUGGAUAAUGAAUGAUUGCUGAUUGAAGAAUUGUGCAAAGGAGUUUAGGUGUAUCAGAGAUUCAGACUUAUAUAAGAAAUCUCUACUACCUGUGAAUAUAUAGGAUCUAUGUUUUCAUUUUGUUUAGCACAGGGAAACCAAUAGAGUUUGGGGUCUUUGAAUGACAUCUGUGUUAUCGGUUUUGCGAAAGGGUGUGAGAAAUGUGUGAGAAAAACACAAUGAAAACAUGUGAGCACAUUUGCAAGUGAUGACUUCUGCUGUGCAAAGAAGGUAUAAAUGGGUCAAAGCAAUCGGAACAGCAGUAAAAAUCUCCCUUCCCUCUUCUCUGUGGGAAAAAGGGGUCGACUGUGCUCUUUACAGUAACUCUUUACCAUAGACUAUAUAUAUAUAGAAUUCUAUGCAGUCUAUGCUCUUUACAGUAAGAGUCAUGCACAGAUAGGCUAUCAGGAAUCAUUAUUGCACUGCAGAGCCUUGGGCAAGGAUUGGUAUAGAUUAGCUACCUUAGAUACUUUGAAAGCCGGUCAUGUAGGUCAGAGCUGUUGUUCUGUAAAUUCAGAGUCGUUAAGUUCUUUUACACUAUUAGAAUUUGGAGGGCCUCCAGUCACUCUGCUUGUCUAGUAGGUUCUUGGGAGAACCUUUCAUAGUUCGUGUUGGUUGGAGGUUCCUGGAUGAACCAGAAUGUGCCGUGCGCGAGCUGGACAUUUGAAAUUUCGUCUGUUGGUUUGUCAGAGCCUCCUGAGUUUGCAACAAACUAUCUGCAGGUGGGUAAUGGUGUCUAUUUAUAGUUAAAUAUUUAUAAAGAUAUGACAUAUUGAUACAUGGUGAGCCCAUUCAAGUGUUUUCAAAGCGUCGCGGUGUUUAGGCUACGUUUACAGUUUAGGUCUUUGAUGGCUAACGUAUCAUUUUACCGCUAGCAAUUCCUGGUCAUUGUUUUAUUUAUUGUUAGUUGCAUAUGUAUUAGCUAGUAAUGAAAUUCAUUUGAAUGACAUUGAGAUAAGAUUUCUAGUUUUACUUCUCAUUCGGUUGACAAAGUUAUAUCUUUAUUGAGCCCAUUAUAGCCUACUAUUAAAGUUACACUUUGGCUCCACAAUGCUAGCCAUAAAGUUACAGUUGUAUCGCUAGAAGCUAGCCAUAAGGUUUUUUGUUUACCUGUCGUCAGACAGCAUUUUAAAUAUUACCAAGAUGUUCACGUGUGUAAGAGUUUAAGAUUGGGAUGAAGUAGGCUAUAUUGUGAAUGUUAAACCUCUAGGUAACUACAUUUGGAAACAUGUUUAGAUAGCUCUUAAAGUGAACGUUACCUUGCGUGCUAUUAAACCCAAUAGGAAACCCACAAAUGCUAGCUCGCUAAAUGUACUAACUUAAUCCUAUUUGCGUUUUGCAGGUAUCUAUCCCUCAAGUAAAAUGUAUAACGACAGUUGUUCUGCGCUGGUUGCAAAGUACAAUUUCCUCCGGGAUCGCACAGGGAAAGGCUAUCUUCUUGCAGAAACAAACCACCAGCUUGAUGUUGACGUUGAUCGCAGCAUUAUGUCAGGAAUGGGAAUUGUAGCAAUGGCCCAAUGCCAUUUAUUUCAUCAACAAGGACCCAGAGGUUCCAAUGCCGGUACUAAUCAUUACCGGAAACUCCUUCUUGGAGGCUACGUUUGGUGUGCGUCUGGACUACACAGAUAUCCUCACCCACAAAGUUGAUGACAUCACCCUCGGGCUUGCAACUUUGAUGUCAAUUUAUUUUGUGUUCUACAUAGAAUACCACACAGUGUUUCCCAUACAUUGACUAAUCGGUGGCGGGGUGCCACGAAAUAAAAAUCGGCCGCCACAGAUCAAUAUU